This 85-nucleotide microRNA precursor is filed under the name Alligator mississippiensis (American alligator). RNAcentral describes it as "microRNA ami-mir-875 precursor". Its record names the gene ami-mir-875. The stretch from base 4 to 76 matches the Rfam family "mir-875 microRNA precursor family". The record is from miRBase by way of RNAcentral. Lineage: Eukaryota; Metazoa; Chordata; Crocodylia; Alligatoridae.
GUUUAGUGGUACAAUACCUCAGUCUUUUCAGGUGUUCUAUAAAAUCACCUGGAAAUAUUGAGGUUGAGUUUCACUGAACACAGGC